This 343-nucleotide unclassified non-coding RNA is filed under the name uncultured fungus. RNAcentral's name for it is "sequence contains ITS1". The stretch from base 1 to 106 matches the Rfam family "5.8S ribosomal RNA", at positions 50 to 154 of the family's 154-position model. The record is from RNAcentral. Lineage: Eukaryota; Fungi.
GAACUGCGAUAAGCAAUGCGAAUUGCAGAAUUCCGCGAGACAUUAGAUCUUUGAACGCACUCUGCGCUGGAGAGAAACUCUCCCCAGCAUGUUUGUCUCAGUGUAAUUGAUUUUAUAUAACUAAAUGUGAUUUUAUGUCUUUAUUGAUAUAAUCUCAUUAAAUCAAUAUUGUGAAUUAAUAUUCAAUUCUAAUGAAGUGGUCGCUUUUCUCAUAAAAAAAGAAAAUGCGAUUUCAUUAGAUCAAUAUAUUGAUAUUAAUUUAUAUACACAUAGUGUAAAUUAUAUUAAAACAAAUUAAAUCAUUAUUUACCUGAGAUCAAAUAAGGCUACCCGCUGGAGUUAA